This 62-nucleotide non-coding RNA is filed under the name Candidatus Omnitrophota bacterium. RNAcentral's name for it is "Omnitrophica WOR Li+-I sequence". It matches the Rfam family "nhaA-I RNA". From Rfam's summary of the family: Acidobacteria, Alphaproteobacteria, Betaproteobacteria and Gammaproteobacteria, Verrucomicrobia, cand. division NC10. Downstream gene Lineage: Bacteria; Pseudomonadati; Candidatus Omnitrophota. The record is from RNAcentral.
GGGUCUAAGAAGGCAGCGCAUGCUCCUUCUUAGAGGAGUUGUCGGUGGUCGGGCCGCCAUCC